This 940-nucleotide long non-coding RNA is filed under the name Scleropages formosus (Asian bonytongue). RNAcentral's name for it is "lncRNA (ENSSFOG00015027969.1)". The record is from RNAcentral. Lineage: Eukaryota; Metazoa; Chordata; Actinopteri; Osteoglossiformes; Osteoglossidae.
GAUUGAACCACGUUUUUGGGGAGCAUCCUGCUGCGUUCAGUUUGUGCACUUACACAGGCCUUUCAGGUGAACUAAGUAACCCUGUCCGCGUUGUCCCGUUAUGCCCAAGUGGCCCGACACGAACCGCCACCCGCGUGUCUCUGGGCAUCGUGACCGCGCAUUUCUGCUGCUGAUCGCGCCCAAAUGCAGCACAUCGUAUCCAAAAUUUUACACUUCGCUUGAAGGUAGUUCACUGUAUAAAUGAUAGGAGCGCGCGCAAGUGUCACAGUGAAACAGGGAGCAGCUGAGUCUCCGCCUGUACUCGUGCGUAGGGUCGCGAGACAAGUACUUAAGUAGUAAGAGAGAGCGCAAAGGAACAUGCUUUUCUUCCCAAAUAAAGGUCUCCAGAGGAAACCCACUGGGAGAAUAUGGGGCUCCACAGCGACAUAAAAGUGGGCCGGAUUUCAAACUACAACUCUGGAAGCAUGAGGAAACAGCACCAUCUGCUGAGCCACUGUGCCACUUGUUCAGAAGUUCUAGCUACAAAGAGGUCACGGUGAAUCGGAGCCUGACCCGGCAACACAGGACACAAGGCCGGAGGGGAAGGGGACACACCCAGGACGGGACGCCAGUCCGUCGCAAGGCACCCCAAGCGGGACUCAAACCACAGACCCACCAAAGAGCAGGACCUGGUGAAGUCCUCUGCACCACCGCACCCCCCAGUGCUAAAAUAGCUUUUUAAAAAAUCAUUUACUUCAAGGCUGACUCCUAUAAUAUACAUAUUUUAAAGUGAUUAAUUAAGGUAAAUAAGUGACUAGGAUGACAAGAAUAGCAAAAGUUUUGUCUGGUCUAGUGUUUAAUAUAUAACAUUUAACUCAGUUGACACUAUUCUCCAGAGCACUAUGGGUUAUGUGGCAAAAAGUAAGAUUGUGAGCCAUUCCUCUUAGCAUCCAAACUACAG